Molecule: non-coding RNA, 31 nt
Filed under: Homo sapiens (human)
Lineage: Eukaryota; Metazoa; Chordata; Mammalia; Primates; Hominidae
Source: RNAcentral
AGGGUUUGCCUGCAUACCUCCGCCUGCUCCC